GUGCUUUGGCAGCACAUAUGCUAAAACUGGAAUGAUACAGAGAGGAUUAGCCUGGCCCUUGUGCAAAGAUGACACCCAAAAUGAAGGGGGAAAGAUUAUACAA
Molecule: small nuclear RNA, 103 nt
Organism: Lontra canadensis (Northern American river otter)
Lineage: Eukaryota; Metazoa; Chordata; Mammalia; Carnivora; Mustelidae
Source: RefSeq, a predicted model, not a curated record